GGUUAGUGUGGCAUAGUGGUUUGAGUGUUGGACUGGGGCUCCAGGGGACCAGGAUUCAAAUCCCCACUCAACCA
This is a non-coding RNA of Phrynosoma platyrhinos (Desert horned lizard), 74 nucleotides long. The record is from the annotation of a GenBank genome assembly. NCBI's taxonomy places the organism in Eukaryota, Metazoa, Chordata, Lepidosauria, Squamata, Phrynosomatidae.